UUGUUAAAUGAGUGAGAUUUCAUUUUCUCAUUGUCUUAUUUUAUUAUGUGCAGUAUUUAAUUUUACCAUAGUGAUGGCUUUUUAAAAGUCACUUUGGAAAGAUUUUUUUAGUUAAAUUUUCCUGAGAAAGGAUUGAUUUUUUUUUCCUGUGCUUUUUAACCCAGUAUUCUAUGUAUGAACUUUAUACUUUUUAACCCCAAUAAUUAGACUAAUAAGAUAUGUAAUAAAGUGUCUCAUACGUAUGUAUGUGUAUUUGGUUAUACUAAGGCGUUUACUCAGGGCCUCACACUUGCUAAAUAGGCACUCUUCCUCUUGAGCCAUCUCUCCAUUCCCCUUUUGCAUAAGCUGUUUUCAAGAUUGAGUCUCUUUCACUUUAUGCUUGGCCAUCCUAGACUUCCUACUUGUGCUUCCUCAGGGAACUGAGAGUGACAGGCACUUAGCCACUGAUUAAGAUAGUGUUUCAUGAACUUUCUUUCCUGGGCUGGCCUUGAACUAACCCUCUGACCUCUGCCUCACAAGUAACUAGGAUUACAGGCAUAUGCCCCUAUGUUGUUUUUAUUUUUGUUUAAAUACUUUGUGAUCUCAAAGAACCUCUUAGUCCAUCAUAAAUGUUAAUGUUGAGUUAACUGAACGUUAACAUUUAUCAGACAAUAGUUUAUACUUUAAUUUCAUUAUAUUUUAUAGUAAGUCAUUAUGCCAGUGUUAGGUUAAUUACUUGAAUCCUAGACCUAGGUGCUUGAAGAAUUUCCAUUUUGAAAUGCAUCAGUCAUUAUUCACUGCACUUUUUGAUCUCCUUUGAAAAAUAUCUACCAUUUUUUUUUAAUUAGUUCUCUAAAUGGAAGAGAACCUCUUUUUUCUUUGCUGUGGGCUGGCCUGGUAUACAUGGCAGCAUUUCAUUUGUAUCUAGGACUCAUGGUUGGAUUUCAAAUGUGCCCUCUAUAGUCCAGCACCAUUUGAAACUUACUCAUUUUCUGAUGUCUUAAGCAGCUUGAUUUAUUGAUGUAGCAAUUAUUGCAGUUGUACCAUUUUAAUUCCCUCCAUCAUCUUCUCCCUUCAUUUGGGAUGAUAUGCAGGAUGACAUUUGAUGUCCCAGUGAGUACCGUAAGAGAAUGUUGAAGAGCUAUGUAGGGACCAUUCCUCACACAGAAUCCAGCCAGCUGUCAGGUUGUCCUUAAUCAGAGUGUGGUAGUGUAGGUACAUCCUCAUUUUCAUCAUAGCAUUACUUUUAGAAUGUGUCAUUUAAAAACUAUAAAACCAAAUAUUUAAAAACACUCUGUUUGCUUUGCUGAGCCUUGCCGUUGAUUUUGUUAUUUUAUGGACUGCUAUAGAAGAGUCUAUUGUUAAUCACGUCCUAACCCUAUAAAAUAUGUAACAAGCUGCUGAGCAGAAAGAUGACAGUAGACAGAGAACAGAGUUUCAUUUGAAUUCAUGCAAAUGCAGAGGUUUCCAGAAAGCCAUUUUUAAAGCCACAUUUUGGAAAUAAAACAAAGAAUAACACGUUGGAGUAGAAAUCUGUAAUGAAACCCAUAAUAGCUGAAAGAAUACAAUAAAUUCUGCAGGGAGAGUUUUUCAUUUUCUGUUCCUUUUCAAAUUCUAAUACUAAACUCUAUUAGUAGUCUGUAGAAAAUGAUGAGACAUGAAGCUUUGCUGGUGUAUAACUAUUACUAAUCUGUUACUUUGCAUAAAUUUUCACUCAAAUGAUUGUCUGUGGUCUUCUUAUAAAGGACAUGUUAUAUGCUUGCCAAAUAAACAGAUGAGACCUAUUAACUAUCUUCUUAGAACCAAAUAGUACUGGAAUUUGUAGACAUUGGCAUUUUUAAACAUGGGGCAAAGAGAAGGGUCAAAUUCAAGGAACACAGUAUAUUAGUGCCAGUUCAGAUAUCUUCCAUCUUGAGUGAAUUGACACCCCUUCACAUGAAGGAAAGCCCCUUUUUUAUGCUUAUUUUAAGGAUGGUGGUGGAAGUGGUUUAAUCUCUACAAAUAGGUUACAUCCUUGUUUUACUUCUAAUAAUUCUAACAGCUGAUCAUUUCCUCCUCUAUAAACUUUGUCUUCCCAAUUUCAGCUUAUGAAACCCUUUUUAUUUCUUGGACACAUAGACUUAUAAUUUAAAUUAUCUUUGAUUCUUUUCUUUUCCUUCAAAUAUUUAAGAUACUGCCAAGUUCUUUUGAUUCAUCUUUCAUAAUUUCUCUUAUAUCCAUCUCUUCUUCCAUUCCCAUUGCCAGAAUCCCAGUACAGAACAGUAUGGCCUCAUGCCUAAAUUAUUAACAUGUUUAAUUGGUUUCCCAACCUCUUGUUCAUUCACUUCCAAUUUGUCCUGACCACCACCACUUGAUUUAUCUUACUAAAGCAUGGCUUUUUUAAACUUAGCAAUUUGAAACUUUGGAAAUAUUUGAAAUAAGAGUUGAGUCAUUUUUAAAAGACAGCACAAUAUAAUGGUAUAUUGACUCCAGAACCAAAUAGUUAAGAUGUGGGAUUCCAGAUUAGUCCCUUUGUUGAUGGCUUGACCUUAGGGAGAGAAUUGCUUGACCUUUUGGGGCUUUAGGGUCCUCAUUUGAUAGUAGGGAGAAUGAAAUACUUGUUGUUAUGAGAAAUAUUACAAUAUGUAAAAUACAUGGGUUAGUGGGUUUGAUGGAUGACAGUUAUUAUCAGUAGUCUGGAGGACAAAAUAGAGAACUGGACCAGAGCUAGGAAAGGAAAGGGAUGUGGGGAAAUGCUUUGG
Molecule: long non-coding RNA, 2720 nt
Organism: Perognathus longimembris pacificus (Pacific pocket mouse)
Lineage: Eukaryota; Metazoa; Chordata; Mammalia; Rodentia; Heteromyidae
Exons: 2
Source: RefSeq, a predicted model, not a curated record